RNAcentral lists this ribosomal RNA (467 nucleotides) under uncultured bacterium. RNAcentral's name for it is "partial 16S ribosomal RNA". It matches the Rfam family "Bacterial small subunit ribosomal RNA", at positions 28 to 506 of the family's 1533-position model. The record is from RNAcentral.
GACGAACGCUGGCGGCGUGCUUAACACAUGCAAGUCGAACGGAAAGGCCCUGCUUUUGUGGGGUGCUCGAGUGGCGAACGGGUGAGUAACACGUGAGUAACCUGCCCUUGACUUUGGGAUAACUUCAGGAAACUGGGGCUAAUACCGGAUAGGAGCUCCUGCUGCAUGGUGGGGGUUGGAAAGUUUCGGCGGUUGGGGAUGGACUCGCGGCUUAUCAGCUUGUUGGUGGGGUAGUGGCUUACCAAGGCUUUGACAGGUAGCCGGCCUGAGAGGGUGACCGGCCACAUUGGGACUGGGGUACGGCCCAGACUCCUACGGGAGGCAGCAGUGGGGAAUAUUGCACAAUGGGCGGAAGCCUGAUGCAGCAACGCCGCGUGCGGGAGGACGGCCUUCGGGUUGUAAACCGCUUUCGCCUGUGACGAGGCGUGAGUGACGGUAAUGGGUAAAGAAGCACCGGCUAACUACGU